CCUACGGGUGGCAGCAGUGAGGAAUAUUGGUCAAUGGGCGAUAGCCUGAACCAGCCAAGUCGCGUGAAGGAUGACUGCCCUACGGGUUGUAAACUUCUUUUAUCUGGGAAUAAAGAGCAGUAUGUAUACCUCUUUGCAUGUACCUUAUGAAUAAGGAUCGGCUAACUCCGUGCCAGCAGCCGCGGUAAUACGGAGGAUCCGAGCGUUAUCCGGAUUUAUUGGGUUUAAAGGGAGCGUAAGCGGGGUGUGAAGUCGGUUGUGAAAGUUUGCGGCUCAACCCUAAAAUUGCAGUUGAAACUGGCAUCCUUGAGUACGGUAGAGGUAGGCGGAAUGCGUGGUGUAGCGGUGAAAUGCUUAGAUAUCACGCAGAACUCCGAUUGCGAAGGCAGCCUGCUGGACUGUAACUGACGCUGAUGCACGAAAGUGUGGGUAUCAAACAGGAUUAGAUACCCUAGUAGUC
This 460-nucleotide ribosomal RNA is filed under the name uncultured bacterium. Its description in RNAcentral is "partial 16S ribosomal RNA". It matches the Rfam family "Bacterial small subunit ribosomal RNA", at positions 338 to 795 of the family's 1533-position model. The record is from RNAcentral.